UUGAAUUACUGAAAUAAAUGGACUUUUCCACGACAAUCUAAAUCAUUGAGAUGCACCUGUAGGGAAGGAUUCUCCAACUCAAGUUGGUAUUGAUGGCGUUCCUCAAAGCAGUUUGGGAACCAGCCUAACCACCCUAAACUGGGAAAAUACUCCAGGAGCGUCAAGCCCAACAAAUAACCAUCCAGCCAUAAGACAUUCAUCUGAGGAGAAAGGAUUGGGAAGAGUUACAUCAAGGGCUUGCUGAACUUCAACGAGAAGUUAUUUUGCAGCAGAAGAGGAAAGUGGAGUUGGAAAUUUCUAAAUUAGAAAUGGAAAAGGAAAACUUGAAUAAGCAGAACAUAAUACUCAACACAAAAUUAACAAACUUGCUCAAGAGGUUUUAAUAGCUUUACAGACAAUAAGUGAACCAUAACAAAAACCUUAAUCUGUUAGAAUAUUUAUUCAAAUAAUUUGCAAUAUACAGAAAUACAUACAUA
Molecule: long non-coding RNA, 476 nt
Organism: Cyprinus carpio (common carp)
Lineage: Eukaryota; Metazoa; Chordata; Actinopteri; Cypriniformes; Cyprinidae
Exons: 3
Source: RefSeq, a predicted model, not a curated record